RNAcentral lists this transfer RNA (95 nucleotides) under Penicillium coprophilum. It matches the Rfam family "tRNA". From Rfam's summary of the family: Transfer RNA (tRNA) molecules are approximately 80 nucleotides in length. Their secondary structure includes four short double-helical elements and three loops (D, anti-codon, and T loops). Further hydrogen bonds mediate the characteristic L-shaped molecular structure. tRNAs have two regions of fundamental functional importance: the anti-codon, which is responsible for specific mRNA codon recognition, and the 3' end, to which the tRNAs corresponding amino acid is attached (by aminoacyl-tRNA synthetases). tRNAs cope with the degeneracy of the genetic code in two manners: having more than one tRNA (with a specific anti-codon) for a particular amino acid; and 'wobble' base-pairing, i.e. permitting non-standard base-pairing at the 3rd anti-codon position. Lineage: Eukaryota; Fungi; Ascomycota; Eurotiomycetes; Eurotiales; Aspergillaceae. The record is from Rfam by way of RNAcentral.
GGGCGGCUGGCCUAAUGGUAAGGCGUCUGAUUUCGGCGGGAGAUGUGCUCCAAACCCUUCUCAGAAGAUUGCAGGUUCGAUCCCUGCGUCGCUCA